UACGGAGGAUCCGAGCGUUAUCCGGAUUUAUUGGGUUUAAAGGGUGCGUAGGCGGUUUGAUAAGUUAGAGGUGAAAUGUCGGGGCUCAACCCCGAAACUGCCUCUAAUACUGUUGGACUAGAGAAUAGUUGCGGUAGGCGGAAUGUAUGGUGUAGCGGUGAAAUGCUUAGAGAUCAUGCAGAACACCGAUUGCGAAGGCAGCUUACCAAACUAUAUCUGACGUUGAGGCACGAAAGCGUGGGUAGCAAACAGG
Molecule: ribosomal RNA, 253 nt
Filed under: uncultured bacterium
Lineage: Bacteria
Description: partial 16S ribosomal RNA
Rfam family: Bacterial small subunit ribosomal RNA
Source: RNAcentral